UGGGCUGGUUGACCUUGGAUGUGAAUCUGGGCAAGGUGAGAGGAGAGUGACUUAGCGAAGGUCCAGGGAAGCAGGCGCCUUAUUUUUUCCAGCUGUAUUGAGAUGGAAUUGACUUUCAAUAUUGGGAAAACUGAAGAUGGAGGCAGAGACUGCAGUCAGGCAGCUGCAAGGUGAGGAACACCACGGACUGACGGCACCAGCAGAAACGAGGAAGAGGCAAGAAAGGAUUCUACCCAGAGCCUCAGAGAGAGCAUGGCCCUGCUGACACCUCGAUUUCAGACUUGUAGCCUCCAGAACUGGAGAUAAUAAAGCUCUGUUUUUCU
Long non-coding RNA from Equus quagga, 323 nucleotides. RefSeq lists it as uncharacterized. The record is from RefSeq and is a predicted model, not a curated record. NCBI's taxonomy places the organism in Eukaryota, Metazoa, Chordata, Mammalia, Perissodactyla, Equidae. The transcript has 3 exons.